RNAcentral lists this ribosomal RNA (467 nucleotides) under uncultured bacterium. RNAcentral's name for it is "bacterial SSU rRNA". It matches the Rfam family "Bacterial small subunit ribosomal RNA", at positions 334 to 793 of the family's 1533-position model. The record is from RNAcentral.
CACUCCUACGGGAGGCAGCAGUGGGGAAUAUUGCACAAUGGGGGAAACCCUGAUGCAGCCAUGCCGCGUGUGUGAAGAAGGCCUUCGGGUUGUAAAGCACUUUCAGUAGGGAGGAAGGUAGUGUAGUUAACACCUGCACUAUUUGACGUUACCUACAGAAGAAGCACCGGCUAACUCCGUGCCAGCAGCCGCGGUAAUACGGAGGGUGCGAGCGUUAAUCGGAAUUACUGGGCGUAAAGCGCAUGCAGGUGGUUUGUUAAGUCAGAUGUGAAAGCCCGGGGCUCAACCUCGGAAUUGCAUUUGAAACUGGCAGACUAGAGUACUGUAGAGGGGGUAGAAUUUCAGGUGUAGCGGUGAAAAUGCGUAGAGAUCUGAAGGAAUACCGGUGGCGAAGGCGGCCCCCUGGACAGAUACUGACACUCAGAUGCGAAAGCGUGGGGAGCAAACAGGAUUAGAUACCCUGGUAG